This is a long non-coding RNA of Eriocheir sinensis (Chinese mitten crab), 1742 nucleotides long. RefSeq lists it as uncharacterized. The transcript has 3 exons. Lineage: Eukaryota; Metazoa; Arthropoda; Malacostraca; Decapoda; Varunidae. The record is from RefSeq and is a predicted model, not a curated record.
GCUCUCCCUUUGAAGAACCAAGAUGGCGGCCAGUGUGAAAUGUUAAGUUAAAAAUCCUUCAUAUUUUUCACGUUUUCAAGGGUAAAGGAAGCGAGUGGAGGCGAGACAAGGGACAUAAAGGAAGAAGAAGACUCAUUUAUCAUCUAGGAGCCACGGGAAGACAAGCUUGUCAGAAGAAGAAGAGGAAGAGGAAGAGGAGGAGGAAGAGGAACUGUGUAAUGCAGGAAGAAGAGGAGGAGGAGGAGGAGGAAGAACUGGGAGGCUUAGAGAAGAAGAAAGGAAGAAAGAAGGAAGAGGAGGAAGAGAAACUGUGUGAUAGAAGAAGAGGAGGAGGAGGAAGAAAUAUAGAAGGAAGAACUGGGAGGCUUAUAGAAGAAGAAGGAAGAGGAAGAAGGAGAAGAAUGUGUUUGAAGAUACCCUAAACUUAACCUAACCUAACCUAACAAAACCCCAAACAGUCACUAUAGGUCUUGACUCAGAAAAUUCAUAUAUGCUUCCUUACUAAUGAGACUUUCUAUACAACAAAGUGAGGUCAUUCUGUGUUGAUUUAUACCAUAAGGUGCUGGCUAUCAUGUGUUUGAAGAUACCCUAAACUUAACCUAACCUAACAAAACCCCAAACAGUCACUAUAGGUCUUGACUCAGAAAAUUCAUAUAUACUUCCUUACUAAUGAGACUUUCUAUACAACAAAGUGAGGUCAUUCUGUGUUGAUUUAUACCAUAAGGUGCUGGCUGUCAUGUGUUUGAAGAUACCCUAAACUUAACCUAACCUAACAAAACCCCAAACAGUCACUAUAGGUCUUGACUCAGAAAAUUCAUAUAUACUUCCUUACUAAUGAGACUUUCUGUGCAACAAAGUGAGGUCAUUCUGUGUUGAUUUAUGCCAUAAGGUGCUGGCUAUCAUGUGUUUGAAGAUACCCUAAACUUAACCUAACCUAACCUAACAAAACCCCAAACAGUCACUAUAGGUCUUGACUCAGAAAAUUCAUAUAUACUUCCUUACUAAUGAGACUUUCCAUACAACAAAGUGAGGUCAUUCUGUGUUGAUUUAUACCAUAAGGUGCUGGCUGUCAUGUGUUUGAAGAUACCCUAAACUUAACCUAACCUAACAAAACCCCAAACAGUCACUAUAGGUCUUGACUCAGAAAAUUCAUAUAUGCUUUCUUACUAAUGAGACUUUCUAUACAACAAAGUGAGGUCAUUCUGUGUUGAUUUAUACCAUAAGGUGCUGGCUAUCAUGUGUUUGAAGAUACCCUAAACUUAACCUAACAAAACCCCAAACAGUCACUAUAGGUCUUGACUCAGAAAACUCAUCUAUGCUUCCUUACUAAUGAGACUUUCUAUACAACAAAGUGAGGUCAUUCUGUGUUGAUUUAUACCAUACGUCACUGGCUGUCAUGUGUUUGAAGAUACCCUAAACUUAACCUAACCUAACCUAACAAAACCCCAAACAGUCACUAUAGGUCUUGACUCAGAAAAUUCAUAUAUGCUUCCUUACUAAUGAGACUUUCUAUACAACAAAGUGAGGUCAUUCUUUGUUGAUUUAUACCAUAAGGUGCUGGCUGUCAUGUGUUUGAAGAUACCCUAAACUUAACCUAACAAAACCCCAAACAGUCACAAUAGGUCUUGACUCAGAAAAUUCAUAUAUACUUCCCUACUAAUGAGACUUUCUAUACAACAAAGUGAGGUCAUUCUGUGUUGAUUUACACCAUACGUCACUGGCUGUCAUGUGUUUGAAGAUAC